This 496-nucleotide ribosomal RNA is filed under the name uncultured bacterium. Its description in RNAcentral is "partial 16S ribosomal RNA". It matches the Rfam family "Bacterial small subunit ribosomal RNA", at positions 28 to 506 of the family's 1533-position model. The record is from RNAcentral.
GAUGAACGCUGGCGGCGUGCCUAAUACAUGCGAGUCGAGCGAACGGACGAGAAGCUUGCUUCUCUGAUGUUAGCGGCGGACGGGUGAGUAACACGUGGAUAACCUACCUAUAAGACUGGGAUAACUUCGGGAAACCGGAGCUAAUACCGGAUGAUAUUUUGAACCGCAUGGUUCAAAAGUGAAAGACGGUCUUGCUGUCACUUAUAGAUGGAUCCGCGCUGCAUUAGCUAGUUGGUAAGGUAACGGCUUACCAAGGCAACGAUGCAUAGCCGACCUGAGAGGGUGAUCGGCCACACUGGAACUGAGACACGGUCCAGACUCCUACGGGAGGCAGCAGUAGGGAAUCUUCCGCAAUGGGCGAAAGCCUGACGGAGCAACGCCGCGUGAGUGAUGAAGGUCUUCGGAUCGUAAAACUCUGUUAUUAGGGAAGAACAUAUGUGUAAGUAACUGUGCACAUCUUGACGGUACCUAAUCAGAAAGCCACGGCUAACUACGU